This 455-nucleotide ribosomal RNA is filed under the name uncultured bacterium. RNAcentral describes it as "bacterial SSU rRNA". It matches the Rfam family "Bacterial small subunit ribosomal RNA", at positions 340 to 786 of the family's 1533-position model. The record is from RNAcentral.
UACGGAGGCAGCAGUGGGGAAUAUUGCACAAUGGGCGCAAGCCUGAUGCAGCCAUGCCGCGUGUAUGAAGAAGGCCUUCGGGUUGUAAAGUACUUUUCAGUCGUGAGGAAGGUGUUAAGGUUAAUAACCUUAGCAAUUGACGUUAGCGACAGAAGAAGCACCGGCUAACUCCGUGCCAGCAGCCGCGGUAAUACGGAGGGUGCGAGCGUUAAUCGGAAUUACUGGGCGUAAAGGGCACGCAGGCGGUUAAUUAAGUUGGAUGUGAAAUCCCCGGGCUUAACCUGGGAAUGGCAUUCAAGACUGGCUAGCUAGAGUCUUGUAGAGGGGGUAGAAUUCCAUGUGUAGCGGUGAAAUGCGUAGAGAUGUGGAGGAAUACCGGGUGGCGAAGGCGGCCCCUGGGACAAAGACUGACGCUCAUGUGCGAAAGCGUGGGGAGCAAACAGGGAUUAGAUACC